CAAUAGCGUAUAUUAAAGUUGUUGCGGUAAAAAAGCUCGUAGUUGGAUUUCUACCGAAGAUAGCCGGUCGGGUCUUCGACCUUGUAUCUAGUUUUGUCUUUGGUAUCCUCAUAGGGAACGUUUCUGCGCUUUAUUGCGUGGUGCGGUAUCUAUGACUUUUACUUUGAGGAAAUUAGAGUGUUCACGGCAGGCAAACGCCUUGAAUAUAUUAGCAUGGAAUAAUAACAUAGGAUCUUCGUCCUAUUUUGUUGGUUUCUAGGGCUAAGAUAAUGAUUAAUAGGGAUAAUUGGGGGCAUCUGUAUCAACGCGUCAGAGGUGGAAUUCUUGGAUUGCGUUGCGACAAACUACUGCGAAAGCAUUUGCCAAGGAUGUUUUCAUUGA
Molecule: ribosomal RNA, 381 nt
Filed under: uncultured eukaryote
Lineage: Eukaryota
Description: partial 18S ribosomal RNA
Rfam family: Eukaryotic small subunit ribosomal RNA
Source: RNAcentral